Molecule: unclassified non-coding RNA, 4980 nt
Filed under: Hevea brasiliensis (rubber tree)
Lineage: Eukaryota; Viridiplantae; Streptophyta; Magnoliopsida; Malpighiales; Euphorbiaceae
Source: RNAcentral
UAUGUGGCUCAAGAAAGGAAUGGAUGCACAUCGUUUUCAGAAUAUGGGUAAGUUGAUGUGUGUGUGUAUGUUGGAUGUAUAAGGGUGAUUGAAGUUGUAAGCUUAGAGAUUAAACUUCACUACUAGCUAUUUUUACUUAAUUUCAUGUCGCCAACUCAUGCGGCGAAUAAUUGAAAAUGUACUUGAUUGAUUUAAUAUGGCCCCGCAAUAGGUGUAGACUAACACAACUAGCAUAUAGACGUGUACGGUUACAUAAAUGAAGAGAAUGCACCAUCCCAAAUAUUUUUAUCAUAUAUACAUUCAAAUCUACUAAUGAAUCCAUUGUAAAUCGAGCAAUUUUCCUAGGUGAGUCUUCCAGGGACUACAGGCCCUGUUCUUCAAUACAAGAUCAGGUGGUAAAUUUCAAACACAAGCUUCCAAAAAUUACACAUAUCAACUGAAUCAGAGUUAACGACAGCUAUAAUCUGACUUUUAGAUGCAUGCCUUCACCACAUAUCUGAAGUGCAAACUUUUACCACAUCAUCAGGAAGAAUUGGAGCCUCCAAUCUCUUGCACGUUUGAGGAUUAUUCAAAUAUUUGUCUGGAUUUGGUGUAUUCAUAAGGGUUUUGAAGGGAACUGUAUUUUUAAGCAGGAAGAAAAAAUGAAUCCAUUACAUUCCUGUUACAUGUGAUCACAAUUCUAUUACAUUUUCCAUUUAACACAUGUUAGUUUAAGUAUCAAAGGAUAUGUUUUCUAAUAUGAUUCAAUAAUUCUCUUUUUGCCCAACUAGUUUUUAUAUCAUCUGCAAUGUCUAGACUACAAAGCUCUCUCUGGGGUUAAGGAAUGAAUUUAUUUUGGCAUAUUGGUUUGCCUGAAUGCAUGCAGACUCAGAAUCUUGAUUGAAAAUUAAAUCAUAUUAACAUAACUAUAAUGAUUCAGUUCAUUUUCUUGAUGAAAGCUGUUUCGGAACGUUUCUGUGAGGCAUAGCAAUACAAGAGGGGUGUGGCAAUAAUUUACCUGCACAAACUCAAAGAAAAUGCCAAAAUAUUACAAUUAUGUCAGCCCCGUUGCAGCUCUGCAAUAAACAAGAAGAUUAUGGGUUGGGUCUUUCCUCAGAAAAUCUUGGAAGUUGAACAAGGGAGUUCACUCUUGUGACGCCUUCCAAACCUGACCAACUCUGAUCUUCACCAGCAACUGUUUCUCCACUUCCAUCAACUUCAGCCCCUAGUUUUCCAUAAUUAUCGUUUUCUUCUGAUGAUCUCACAGUAAAAUUCCUUUGCAAACAUGGCUCAGACUUCUGGCCAUCAUCUGAUUCAAUUGCAUUACCAGAAUGAUUGCUCUGCAGGGUUGCAGAAGAAAAGCACUGUUCCUCAUAAUCAGAUUCUGAGUCCAUUUUCCCAUCCAAAAAUAAACAAACCACUGCACAGUCAUCCAUUUUUGAAGUUGGGUAUUUGAGCUUCCAUUCUCGAGCAGCCGAGUCCACCAGGAUUCUCGCAGCUGAUGACCUCGUUGGAGCUGAUGACACAAUCUCAACCACCUCUUCAUUGCUCAAAACAUCCCAAACCUGUAGUAACAAUAAUCUAGCACUCGGUAAAAACAGAGAGUAUAUAAGCAUGCUACAAGAUAUACUAGGUUUCAGGUGAAUCGCAAUAUAUCCUGGUGGAUUACUUUAUUCUGAUAAAUAGGAAUUUAAAUAUCAAGGCAAACCUCCUCAAUCCCAUCCAUAGUCCAGUCAGGAUUUACAGCAUACAUACAAUUAUCAGACAGAAUUUGGUCUUGUUAUGAAGCAGAUCAAGACAGGGCUAUCAUGGCCUUUUCAAUGGAAACACAAAACAUAACAAAGCCUAAAGAAACUUAAUCUUGUAAACCACAUUCACCAAGCAGGGUCUAAGGAAUAAGAAGGAUUUCUACUCAUAGAAAACAGAUGAGAAGGUCUCUUCUAAUCUGUGUAGCUAUAUUUAACCUUAACCAAAAUCUGAAGAUGCAUCAUGAAGUUCUUUACGUCUCCUGAAUCUUUUCUGACAAUGCCAUGUCUUUCGAAAACAUGUUAUGCUAAAAUAACCAUUAUAGGGACAGCUAUUAUCUUGAGGUCCUAUAACAAUCCUUGUUUUUUCAUUGCUUACAAAUGAUUGGUUCUAGAAUUAUUAUCUCUAAUAUUGUGUGACUCUCCAACAUUUAUUACAUUUACUAUGAUGUGCUCUGAAUGGCCUACCCAACAUUUCUUUGUUCCACCACAACCAAGAUCAUCUUCUUAGUCAAAAUUUUUCCUUGGGUUUGAUUUUUUAUGAAGAAAGAUCAGAUCAGCAACAUCAACUAGACAUUCAUGAGUGACAAACAUACAAAACUCUUUAACAUCAAAAAUUUGACUCGGCAUCAUAGCAGCAUUUUUCUGAUACCUAUCAUGGAAUACUUAUCAUGUCUAUCUAUUUGGUAUUUCGGUUUGAAGAUAAUAUCAUCAAAAUCCCUGUUCCUCGAAAAACAAGCCACCAUAAAAAUCCAUCAACCACAUUGAACUUCAGUUUAUAUGCCUCAAAGAAAGUGAUAUGGCUUGAUAUAAAAUCUACAAAAAAAUAUUUUAUUCACUGCCAUGAUAUUAGCACAACUUAUAUUCUUAGUUCACAGAUAACAGAACAUAGCUCAAAGAAAUUCACUUGGUAGUCAACAGGCCUUAAUUACAGUACAUUGACCCUCAGAAAUUUUCAUAUUGAAAAGUUUUUAUUGGCUGUGAUUUUAAUAAAAUAAAAGAAAAUUAGAUUCUCAUCAACAAAAAGAAAAUGAAAUAAUAGGGGAAAAAUUUAGAGAUGAAAAUCAUACCCCAUCUGAGGCAAGAACAAUGAAUUGAUCUUUCUCUGUAAGUAGGCGGUGAGAGAACUCAGGUAUGGAGAUCACCCCAUAUUCCUUCAAACAAAAGUCCCCAAAUGCCCGUGCCAUUGCUAGGCCAGGGGCAUCAUCAAAUGGCAACCAAACUCUUGGUACUUCAGGUUCAUCUUGCAAUGCAAAGACUCUACCUUUACACCGUUUAAUCCUUUCUGCUUCCCCUGUAACAAUUUGGAUUCACAUAAACUGUUGCGCUCAGGCAUAGUAUCAAACCACCGAAAGAUCCAAUUAUAUAUUGUGACCUACUUGGCAAAUCAGGUUUCAGAUCAACAGUCAACUGGAUUGCAACCAUAGAAUCAUUGUUAUCCUUAGAUCCCAUGAUUGCACGAGAAUCCCCAAUAUAUCCCAUGAAAAGAUUGGAGCCCUGUUUUACCAUAGUGACAGCAGUGCUACCACUACAGAAGCAGUCCAAAUUAGGAUGGGAUCUCAGCUCUUUGUCCAUAGCCUUGUAGGACUUGAGGAAUGCUUCUCUCCAUACAGAAUUCAGUUUAUCCUCCAUGGACCCAUCCUUCUCAGAAUCUCCAAUUUCUGAUUUCUUUGAGUUCCCCUUAAAACAGGUUUGACCUGUCCCAUUUUGCCUCGACUGAUUAGAGUGCAAGAAUGACAGUAACUUCAUUGGCAGGGCAUCCCUCACCUUGCGGGCAACAAGAUGGCCAUGUGGACCAUGGCCAUCAAAGACACCACAAAAAGUCACAUCUUCUGAUAAGAAAUCUUCCCAUACGAUCAUCGCAUCCUGGUUUAUGCCCUUGCGACCCUGCUGUGUGAAUAUACAAGAAGUUCGGCUCUUUCCAUUAGUGAAAAUCCUGUUAGGUAUAGAGGGUAAAUGCUGCAGUGUGACUACGUGGUCGGAGAAUGUUCUUUUAGUUUUCUUUUGCCCGCAAAAUCCAAUCCCCAAGCAUGGGGGGGGAACAGUAUCUGCAUUGCUCCUCCUACUACUACAAGUACUUUGGCUACUAGUCGAGACACAAGCCCCCAUUUGUUCAACAGCAGAAAGAACAAGGCAUCUGCACUGUGAUUAAUGGACAAGAUUCCUCCUUUUGACAGAACAGAUCUCACAUUAAACUCCAAAUUUUGCUAGAAUAGUCAACCAAGAAAAAGACUAUCCAAACACCAAAGAUUCCCACCACUGAAACCAUAGGUCACUUUACACCUCAAACCUCGAUACAGAAAACUGGGAUCUUUUAAUCUUAGUCAAUUACAAUCUGGUGGGGAUUACGUUAAUCGACAAUGAAACCAGCUGAACAAAAACAAUAAGCCAAAAGUUAAUUGAAUUUUUUAUUACAUAUUUUGCUAUAACGCAGAAAUGGCUGCAAGCAUUGAAAACUCCCAACAAAUCAAAUAAAACAAAUUUAAAAAUCUUCCAUGUGACCUUAGAAUAUAAUAUGCUUAAAAGGUUGUCCUAAUCCUUUGUUCUCAUGAGGAAUCACACUGACACACCAGUUGAAGAGACAUUAAUAUGUAAUUUAAUCCACAAACUACCAAUUAAAAAUUGAAGCCAACAAAGAAAAGGAAAAACAGGAGCAUAUAAAUCAAAGACACACCAGGAAACAUGAAACCUGUCCUCCUUUCAAACAAUGAAAGCAUUAGAAAUAAAUUUUAUCAACAACUUUCCACAGCUCAUAAAAUGCUUCUAUACAUAGAAAACAUAAAGAUGCCAAUGAGAUCUAUAAUUAAAAUGAUCUUUUUCCCCAAGGAGAGGAAUGCAAAACAACAACCUUCCUCUAAAUAUUAAUGUUGGGAGGCAUAUUAAAAACAAAAUAAAGCAAGGAAUAUGCAUGGAUGAUUCUCAAAUUCUUACCUUUAUAUUGAGUUCCACAAAGAGAGCCACACAGAAGAGGUUAAAACAAAGAACAAAGAAAAAGUAUAUCUGUGUCCCAACACGUUGUUUCAAAUCAUCCCCAUAAAAAAGACAGAAAUCUCUCUUUGGUUCCACAGAAAAUGCUGGAAAAUAGAGCAAACAACACAUCUAUGAUCAGAUUUUUCAAGUUUCAAAAUUUUGCUGAAGCCAUAAAGGAAAAGAAACCCAUGUAAAGAAAUUUGAAACUUAGACCAUCCCAUAAAAAAAGUAAAAACAUUCCAUACUUCUAAAAGUAUGCUCUACAAGAGAGAGAGAGAGAGAGAGA